UACGAGGGGGGCGAGCGUUGUUCGGAAUUACUGGGCGUAAAGCGUGCGCAGGCGGCUUCUCAAGUCAGGGGUGAAAGCCCAGAGCUCAACUCUGGAAUUGCCUUUGAGACUGAGUGGCUUGAGUACGGGAGAGGUGAGUGGAAUUCCCAGUGUAGAGGUGAAAUUCGUAGAUAUUGGGAAGAACACCGGUGGCGAAGGCGGCUCACUGGCCCGUAACUGACGCUCAUGCACGACAGCGUGGGGAUCAAACAGG
Molecule: ribosomal RNA, 253 nt
Filed under: uncultured bacterium
Lineage: Bacteria
Description: partial 16S ribosomal RNA
Rfam family: Bacterial small subunit ribosomal RNA
Source: RNAcentral